UGAGGCAGGAGAAUUGCUUGAACCCAGGAGGUGGAGGUUGCAGUGAGCUGAGAUCACACCAUUGCACUCCAGCCUGGGCAACAGAGACUCUGUCUAAAAAAAAAAAAAA
This 109-nucleotide microRNA precursor is filed under the name Chlorocebus sabaeus (green monkey). Its description in RNAcentral is "miRNA (ENSCSAG00000027328.1)". Lineage: Eukaryota; Metazoa; Chordata; Mammalia; Primates; Cercopithecidae. The record is from RNAcentral.